UCCAUUUCAUUACAUACAAAAAUUGAUGGUAAUGACUAAUGAUUCUAAUGAACACUGAUACCGUAAUAAGAGUGUUUAGAGUAAUGUUUAAAAAUAAUGGCUCCAUGAUUCUUUUUUUUUUUUUGCCGUCCAUUCAUUAGCCCAUAAGAGCAGAAAAGGGGUACAUUUUAGUUCAACUAGGCCCAUACAACAUUAAUAAACACGUCAGAACUAAACGUGUUAAUUAAAGAGAAAGACUUUAUCCACGUGUCAAGCCUAAGGUUUCAUGCAAGCAGACUCAUCUUUAUCUUCGUGAUAUCCAACGCCGAAAAUUCUCCGUCACCGGAAACCACCGUGGAACCACCUUAUGAAGAACUAGGCUUGCCAAGAGUAGCGUACCUCCAUUAAACUUGCUCGAAGUUACUCCUCCGACUAAAUCCUGUGCGUAUUUCUGGUCGGAAAUUUUCACUUCUUCGUAAAUCAUCACCACCGAUCAUCACUAAUUCAAGACACGUCACCUUUCGCCUUAAACAAGGCUUUUGAAAUAGGGGACUUGAGGAGAUCAAAAGAUCUCAGCCAAGAGAGUAUGAUACCAGAAUUGAAGAAGAUGAAUCUCCACACUUACCACCGGAUUUUAAAACCGCCGCCUUCUAUAAGGAACCCAUCUGCGGAGGAGAAAGGGCAUGACACCAUCUGAAACAAACCGAAAAUCAUUUGCUUUACCAUAAAGACCCAUGAUUCCUCUACCAUAAUGAGAUCCUUUAAUUCACUAAAGAUUAGUGAAGGAUUUUACUCACAAAAGUAGAAAAAUCAAUUAACAAAGAUAGCAAAAGAACUUCGAUAGACGGAUGAAAAGAGAUCCGAUCGAGUCGGAAUUUAUUAUCCGGUAAAACGGAAGAAAGAUCCGAUCAAGUCGGAAUAUAUACAACAAAAACCGGAUUAAUCCGGUGAAGUUUCCGAUUUCAGAAGGAAAUCGGAAAUCGCCUCUCUCUCUCUGAAAAAUAGGAGUGAGAGAAGAGAGAGAGAGUUUGCUUUCUAUGGCUCCAUGAUUCAAAUGUACGUAAGUCUAUGUAUUGAAUUUUCCAAUAAAAUAUUAUUAUAUCAUUUAACUAUCCGACCCGAUUCUCAACCCGGUUGUGUUUGGAUAUUAUAAUCGUGAAUCUGCCUGUCGACGAGUCGAAAUCGGAACUUGAGGGAUCGUUUUCGUUGGAGAUCUCACCUCUACAGCUCUGCGAUUUCCGGCUAGAGAGAUUAGGGUUUCCAGUAUCCUCGGUAUGUAACUUGGAGGCUGCUUAUGGAGCUGGAUAGUUCUAUUUCUUAUUCUCCCUUUUAUCUAUUCACUGUGAAUUUCUGGGGUUUAAGCUUCAAUUGUUGUUGUUUUUUGUUUCCAUCGGAUUAGGAAUCAGAUGUAUUCUGAUCGAAUGGAGGCUGAGGCUGAAAGCAGGAAGACGGUAAAGAACCGACUCAACGGCGGUUCUGUGGACAUCUCUUCUCGCGGGAGACAGGUCACGAGGAAGAGGUUCUAUUUUCUCUUACUCUUCCCCAUUGAUGUUGCUGCUUUUUAGGUUCUUACUUCAUUGGCCAUAACGCAGCUAUAUGAAUUCUUGUUUUUGAAUCUCCCCUGUGGUUUCUUGUAUUAGGACUAAUCGAUUCGCUGAUUUGCUCAUUUACUCAUUUGCUUUUGCUAAUUUUAACUAUUUCAAACAGGAUAGUUAAGUAAGGAGAUUUUGUGAUGUUUAAGAAGUUCACUUGAUUUGAGAUGGUGUGAUAUACUAUUGAUUUACAUCUUUCUCUCUCUGUAGUCUAAAUUGAAAGUUACACUUCCCCUCCAUUGUGUUUUUACCUUCUUCUAGCAUAAGGUUGGAAACCAAAUCUGAUGAACGUACUACCUAAUGCUUUCAGGGAAAGACAGGAUGACGAUAAGUGGCAGCAUGAUCUUUUCGAUGAUGACAUGCCUCGAAUAUCAAGUAUGUUUUAGCUCCGACUUUUCCUUGCUUGAUUAAAUUUACUUUUACAGUCAUUCAAUGCUGCAAAAGUAUCUCUGUUUGUUUGUUGACUCUGUGGUUAUUGACUACCAAGAUCGCAGAGUUGACCCGAAAGAUCUCCGCUUGAAGCUCCAAAAGAAACAUCAUGGCUUGCAAAGUCGACUUGGAGCUAAGUUGAGCGUGCCGGAUCUACGGGAUAAGCUAUCUGGGACGAUGAAUUCACAACCAAGGAUCAGUAACCCACCAAAAUCUAGAACGGAGGCUGCUAGACCAGGCAUAAAGAAGGUUUCAGGUGAAACCAAAUCUGAGACCAGGACAGCUUCGAACAAAGCUACCAAGAAGAAAUCACAGCAGGCAAUUAUAUAUAAUUCAUUUUCUCCAACUAUAUAGUUCUCCAUCAGUAUUUUGUGCCUUGUAGCUUUUCAAUACCUCUUCGACUGAAUGGCUGUUUUAGCAGCACUAGUUCUCAGUUUGUUAUUUAUUGGUUCAGGCUGAUACGUCUGUUGAUAGCUUCCUGGAAUCAUUGGGUCUCGAGAAAUAUUCCACCGCAUUUCAAGUGGAAGAAGUAUGUAAAAUCAGCAUAUUUACUGUUAAAGAUUAACUCAUGCGUUCUCUUCUCAUUUGUUUCCAUCUUUUCAGGUUGAUAUGGAUGCUCUAAUGCAUAUGACAGAUGAUGACCUCAAAGCUCUUCUCAUACCAAUGGUAAAAUAUCCAUGAUAAGCUGCCACAAAAUUAGUUUUUCCCCCGUGCUUAAUUUCAGCUUACCUUACGAAUAGUCAUUGCCUUUGUUUUGCUCCAUUCAUAUUCAUUAGAUAAUGCCGUCAUAGUUGUCUGUUUGACAUCCAUUUUCUGUGUUCUUUACAAGGUGUGUUCUUUUUUCAGGGCCCUAGGAAGAAGAUACUCCUGUCUUUGGGAUCUAAACGUGGGUAGAUUUGCUAGUUGCUUCAAGCUUAGGUGAAUGAUUGUCAGAAAGAUCCUGCAUCUGACUUUGCAUUGUCUCUUUUCUUUUUCAUCUGUAUCUCAAAAGACAAAAGUAGGUAUAGAGUUUUGAGAUUAAGCACUUGUAACCUUUUUAGCACAGAGAAUUGAAAGACUGAAAAGCAAUGUUGGAAUGAGAAAAAAAGAAAGAGUUUUGAGCUUCUCUUAAUGAACCUGGUAGAAGCAAAGGGUUAACAAUAAGGUGAGAAACAAACUCUGUUUCUCUUUGGUAAAUCAUCUUUGAGAAGUGAUUGAAGGUGGACACAGAGAUAAUGGCUCAAGAGUUAGAAUAGAUACAAUAACAGAAUCCCAUAAUCAACACAAGCCGUCUUAGCUCAGUGGUAGAGCGCGUGACUUUUAAUCCCGUGGCCGUGGGUUCGAUCCCCACAGACGGCGUUCGAUUUCAGUAUUUUUAAUCUCCAUGAACAUGAUAUUUUUGAUCUUUGCAGCUUUCGUUCUUUGUCAUACUAAAUAUGGAUUUUGAUAUAACUGUCAACAAACACAUUCCUAAGAGUCGAUAGAUAACAAGAACCAAGUUUCAGAGAAGACAUUCAACAUCCAUCCAUAUACUAAAAACAAGAAUCCCACAAAAUUUGUUAACAACACUCCCAAAAAAAAAAACCUUGUUAAAUGACAAACCCAACAAUUCUUACACUAUCUCUUUGUUUUCCCCAAAAUUUGAGUUUGGAGAUUUUGGUUGUCUUCAAGCAAUCUAUCAUACUCCAGAAGCAGCUCUGCAGACUGUUUUUGGAGAGCCGUGACAUGGGUUUCAGCGGUUUCGAGCUUCUUCUCUUUCUCUUUCGACUCAUUCUCUGCUUUCUUAAGUCUCUCUGAAAUAGAUGAUAGUUUUUCUUGCAGCUGCUUGAUUUCCUUGGACGCUUUCUCCUCUUUCUCCUUCAGUUCCGUUCUCUCUUUCUGAAGCUGUUCAAGUUCUUCUUUCGAUGACCCGACGUUGCUUCUUAAAUUGAUUAGCUUUCUCAGGUAAUGAUGCAUCCUGUCAAUUAUGAAGCCGAGGAAAAGUACGACUCCUGCAAGAUCAUUAAGGAGUUUUGAUCUUCAAACUUUAUUUCAUUAUCGACAUUUUUGCAAAGCUAUACAAUGUUCAGAACCCAAAUAGAAGAUUUCAAACAGCCAAAAAUAAGUUUUGAUAAGAAAGUGCAUCACCCCAAUCACCACAUGAGCAAACCACGUCAAAUAAACAUCACACAAAUAAAGAGCUAGUUUUGGGCAUUGAGUAAAUUGUGGGAAGUUUCUUGCUUUGGAAGAGUUGGGAGAUAUUUCAACAAACUUCCUGGAUACUUUUGGUUCUUUGAUAAGGUUCGUUCAUGUGUUCUUGGUUGUAAUUUACAAUUCAAGAUCAAUAAACAAAACAGGUUCCCAACUUAUAAACUACAAAGGCAGCUUCUCAAAUCUGGUGAAUACCAGCAGAACAGAGCCUCAAAUACAACUAUAGAGAUAUUCAAACCCAGUCGCAGUGCUUCUAUACUACCAUCCACUCAUUUGAGAAACAAACUCUCAAUCAUCAUUUUAACAUCUCUGAGAAAUGUCACAGGCAGCAAAAAUAAAAUAAAAAACCUUUAUUUCCACACUCACUCAAUCUAAGCUUGCUAAGUUUACAUUACACAGACCAUCACUCUACAACAAAGCCUAGAUGAAUUUAGUAAUAGCUAAAUUAGCCUUGAAACCCAUGGACCAAGGAAACACAACUAGAUUAUCAGCACAAAAUCCAGCCAAGAUUUCAAAUUUUGUUCAGAGACCAUAGCAAACAACUAAUCUUGAGGCCAACAGCUAAAUUUUCUACAGGUGACCGACCAAUUAAAGCAACAAUCAACUGAAAUAUACACAAACAAAGGCAUAUGGUUCUACCUAGAAGCAAAAAGAAGAAGAAAGACACUGACCCAUUAGAGAAGCUUCAAGCAAGUGAGUUCUCCAAAGGACCUGAUCCAUGGGAGACAUUGUGCCGAGCUUUGCACCUUUGUUCUGGAUCUUGACGAUGCUCAUGAAGUUGGAGAAGAGUAUAACAGACAUGGUUCCAGCGAUGGUUUUCACAGUGGCAGGACCUUUCCCCAUCUUCAGCUGGUCAAGGCUUUUAAUCACAAGCUCCCUCAAAGGACCAAUCUUAAUCAGCAAUAAGAAUGCAAUAGCACCCUCUACAAAUAGCACCAUAAACAGUAGCUGAAUCAUCUCCGAUUUCCCCAACACCCCAAAAAGUUUCUUCCUUUACCACAAUUCACGAAGGAGGUAAACUCUAAACACUAAUUCCAAACUCUCGUCUUCUGUUUUCUACUUGGGUAUGAACUUAAAAAACCAAAACCCAGAUCCGAGGACGAAGAGGAGAAAACAGCGAAUUAUCUAAAUCCCAUUUGCUUUUUCAAUGAUAGGUGGGCUAAGACAGAUCACUCAUUCCUGAUACCACCAGGAAAUCAUAAAAAUGGGGAGGACCAAGAAGAAAUGAAGUCAAGAAAUCAAAGAAGGCUUAUCGGUGUUUCAGUAGGAGAGAUGAAACACUGAAGAGUGAAGAAAGAUCUGAGAGGAGUUCAGUACAAAAGCAUAAAGGUCGUCGAAAUGUUGUUUACUAAUCUAGAGAGAGAGAGAGAGAGAGAGAGCAAGAUCAAUGGCUGUGAUUAAUUGUGUAAUAAUGUAAAAUCUCAAGUUUAAGAGUGAACUCUACUCUAAAAGUAUACUACUCAUGCCUUUUGCACUUGCUUUUGCCAGACGUAAAAUUUUUCUUUUUUGCUUUACUUUAGAGAGAGAUGACGAAUUAGUCUCUAACUAAAGUUGCAUCCAACUUUUGUUUUGUCAGGGAAAAUUGAAUAUAGGAGUUAGUCUCUAGUAAAGUUGCAUCCAAGUUGCGUUUUAGGAACAAUUUCAGAAAAAUUGUAAGGCAAACUGAUAUUUUUUUCGAAAUAAACCAAACUAGAUGAUGUUAUGGGUAUGCCGUUAAAUAUUAUCAAAUUUUCUCAAGUAUCAAAUAAAUUAAGAAUAAUGUCAUUAUGUGGUCAAAGAUUGGUGAUUUAAUCCAAACUUUUUUGUUCAGUUGGUUAAUACAUAAUUGCAGAAAUUGACGUCAGUUUUUUAUAUCUAAACACGCAUGAAGGGCGUCGUAUGUUGGACAUAUUCUUCAUUAAUCAUUAAAAUGCAACGAAGAGAUAAGUCAGCGUAGAAGGAGUCGUCAGUUUAUCCAACCACAAGAAAGACGAGUCAACGUUGAUGAAUUGUCAACGCUUUCGUGUAUACACGUCUCUUUAUAUCUCUUCCUCUCUCUCUCUCCAAAUAAUCUCUUUCUGAUUCAGAGCCAUUAGAGCAUUUCUUCUUUUCUGGCUGCUGGAAAUUCAGAAGCAUGGCAGUAAGUCCGUUUUUAUGUUAAUGGCCUGCAGUAUUUUUCUUUUAUGGAGUACUUUUUUUUUAAAAUUUUGUUUCCACCAUCUCUCUCUGUGUUUUACUUUAAUUUGUUGAAUGGAUAGUAUAUUAUCAUAUUUGUUGGUAGAGUUUUUUAGUAUCUUUACAUGUUUACGAUGUGAAGGUUUUAGAACCUGCAUGAUCACGAGAUUUUCCUGUUUGACUCCGUUGACAUUUUUUCUUUUUGGUGUGUAUGAACAUCACAUCCAAAUUCGUUCUUAUAGUAAUACUAAUAUAGUAUCAAUCAUAAUGAUUAGCAUCCAUAGAGUUUCUAUGUUUCUCUUGUGCCUUCAAUCUCAGCUCUAAAAUUUACCAGAAAGAAAGUUUUAUAUACAAUAAGAACCCUCAGUGAUAUACAAUAUUAUGUUCAUUCAUAUGAGAAUAUUCAUAAUUUUCUAAAAAAAAAAAAGUAAUUUCUCUGGCUUACAAUUCAAAUGCAAGUCUCUAAAACCUUUCUUUUUGUCUUGUAGUUACCGAACCGUCAAAACGUGCCAAAAUUCGGAAACUGGACUGAAGAUACUCCAUUCACGCACGUGUUCGAGAAAGCGAGCAGGAGCAAGAAAGAUACAACAAACAUGUCUAACCCCAGAGAGUAUCCAGAAAUGAACCCAAACCAUUCACAAAAUCGAAACCAUAAUGGACACGUCCAGCCACCAAACCACAAUGUAAAACCAAGACAUGAAAGAUUCAGUAGCAGAGACGAAACAGAACUCAGACCUUUCGAGCCAUCUCCUGCACACAGUGAAAGAAACAACAGAGUCAGAGCUCCUCCAACACCUGAAACGUACAACCAUCAUCAAUCAUAUGGUGGUGGAUGUAAAUUCGGAAAUCCAUCGCAAACAAAUAGACGGCAACCAUAUGAUCCUCCUCCUCCACCGGUGCAACCUAGGCCAAUUCGCAAUCUUAGAGGUCGAAGCAGUGAAAGGGUAUUGACUUUUUUUACGCUCUUCUUUUAUUAAACAAGCAUUCAUGAAUCGAUCAAGAAUGUUUUCUAUAUCGUGUUUCAUUAUACUCUCAUAGAUUCAUUCGAUGUCAUAUUUACCAAGACAUGUGUCACGAUUCAUAAAUAUAAAAUAAAUGUAUAUCUUUCUUUUUUUUUCAACAAGGUCGCAACUAUUCCACCGUUUCCUGGAUCGGGUUCGGAUCAGAAUCAGAGUUACACACUCAUCUUUGACAAAGUGAAGGAAGACAAGAAACAAAGUGGGGCUUUGAGGUCUUACAAUGGAACCGCUCAUAGCACCCCGACUCGACCCAUUUACGACCAACAUCAUCAACCGCUGCCUUCUAGUCCCAAGGUUUGUAUUCGUUUGGAUUGUAUGCGAAACUUUAAUAAGAUUGAACCAAUGCAACCAAAUCUCUAUAUCAAUUAUCACAAGAAUGGAUUUUUAUCGUUUAAUUUACAUAUCAACCAACCAAAUUUUCUUGCACAUUCUUAUCUUGCAAGUUAAUCUAAAUUACACAUCAAAGGUAGUCUCCAUCUUGAAAAAAUGUGGUCACCAUAUAUUCAUAUAUUCUUGUGAUAAUUGAUAUGUAGAUUUUGUUGCAUUGGUUCAAAAUCUCAUUAAAGUUUCGCAUACAAUCUUAUUAAAAAAUUGGCCUUGAUCAAAUUCAUUGCCAAGAGCGAAGCUAAUAUCCUUUAUAUUCGUUCUAUAACAAAUAGCGUAGGACAAGACUAAUUAAACCGUGUAGAAUUGUACAUUAUUAUAUAUUUAUAGUGUUAUUUUCAUAUGUUUUUUUUUUUUAUAAUAACUGUUUUACAUAUUUUUUCUUAUGUAUUAGGGAUUUUAUCACUUACAAAUUAGUAUGCCAGAUAUACACAAGAAAACUAAAAACGAACGAAACUCAAUGUUAGGAAAAUAACUAAAUUAACCUGGUCUGAUUUUGACACGAAAAUGUUAUGGACCAAAGAUCCAAUGAUGAUUAAUGGAAUCUUUGCAAAAUCAGGGUGAUUUUAACUCUUUUAUUAUACGAAAAUAUCACCUGCCCUAUAUCAAACAUCAUACAAGUUUGGUUAUCUGUCUUAUUGAGCUUAACGUUCGUUGUAAACCGUGAUGUGCAGGGUUGCUGCUUUCCUUCAUGGAGCCGAAAGGGAAGACAAUGAAGAUGAUGACCCUUUCCUUCUGUUUCAUAAUUCCCUCGUUUGUUAUUUGCUUCUGCUUGAUUUUUUUCUAUAUUUCUUAUAUAUUGAGACGUAACCAGUGGUUUUCGCUGUAAAUGCUUCAACUUUUUGCAACUCUUUUGUGUUUUCUUUUACCCCCUUGAAUUCGAGUGUGAGAUCUUUAACAAUACAAAAAUGACAUAAGUGUAUGAUAGCAUAUAAAUUACGUCUCUUCUUGUUGAAAAAAUAAAUUAUGUCUUUUAUAUAAAAAAAUGAUGAUGAUUGUAUGAACUAAAUCUUUUUUAUGAGUUGCAUGAUUGCGAGGUUUUUACUUUUUACUAGGUGGGGAUCCGCGAUGCGCGGGUUAGUGAGGUCCAUAAAGUUGAGUACUUAAUUUUUUUUUAUAAUAUUAAAACGCUAAUGUAUUAUAAAAACUUUUAAUUUUGGAAGAGCAUUCAUAGUCAUCAGAUUGAUUAGUUGGAUAAUUAUAUAUUUUUUUAAAAUUCAUUAAUUCUGCAAACACCAUUAUUAUCUUGUAUUCUAUUUGUUUUAUGUUUGAUUCUCGACAAUGAGGACAAUCAUUAAAGAAAAGGAUACGUAAACUAAAAUAUCAUUUAAUAAAUAAUUAAAUAAACCAUUAAAAUAGUAAAACUCUAAACCUUAAAAAAAAAACUAUUGUUUCCUUACAUUCUGAAAGACGGCUUUGUAUACAACGUUCAAAAGUCUUGGUUUGUGGCUGAUCCAUUGUAUUCGUUAUCAGAUUAAUCUUCAAACCAGCUUUUGAAGUAACACGUGAUAUAGCUACAUAAAGUUGUCCAUGGAAAAAUAUUGGUUUUGGUAAAUAUAGGCCAACCUUUUGCAAAGUCUGUCUUUGACUUUUAUUGAUAGUCAUUGCAUAGGCGAUAGCUACCGGAAAUUAUCUACGCCUCAUUCUAAAAGGAAAUAUUGUCUCUGUGGGGGAAACAAACAUUUGUGGGAUCAAGACCUUUUGACCAAUAUAUUCUCCAGUUAUGUGGCUAGCUUGAAUAACAUGUUUGGCCAAUUGUAUUACCAAGAGUCUUGUUCCAUUGCAUAAAUCACCUCUAGGGUCAAUAUUCUGAAGCAACAUAAUAGGUGUCCUUAUUUUCAAUUUCAAUUCAUGGUUUGGCAAUCCUGAAAUCUUAAUACUAUUAAGAUAUUUAUGUGUGUAAACUUUCUCGUCAAUCUUGCCCUUAUCAGAAGUAUCGAUGCUGUCCGAGCUUAAAUAUGUAUGUUCCUCAGCUAAAAAAAAUGUUUUACGAAGUUCACUUGAUCGCAUUAUGAAGUUAAUGUGUAAGAUCGUAUGUAUAAAGCGUUAAAUAUGUUUACCUUUUAUUUCUGACAACAUGUAUUCGUUUAUUAAUCCCACGUCUGCAUUUCUCGGGCUAAGAAUUGCUCUGUCUUAAAAAAAUUUUGGAUCUCUUUCCGAUCUGUAUGAAUCACCAUACACUUCUCUUACUAUCUCUUUAACAGGAUCAGCACAUUCUUUUAUCAGUAAAUNNNNNNNNNNNNNNNNNNNNNNNNNNNNNNNNNNNNNNNNNNNNNNNNNNNNNNNNNNNNNNNNNNNNNNNNNNNNNNNNNNNNNNNNNNNNNNNNNNNNUCCGUCAUUUAUUUAUAUCAAUCAAAUAUAUGUACUUGAACACUUUAACUAUUUCUCUCUCCUCAUCCAUGUGUCCAUCCCUCUUUCCAAUAUUUAUCUCUCAUUCUCUCCUUUCCCCCCUCGUCCUAAAUUUAUAUAUAUCAUAUGAUUUAGAUAACUACAUUUAAAAUAAGAAGUAUUUCGAAAAUAAAAAAUAGGAACACAAAAAAUAUGAGCUAACAUAGAUUGAAUAUCAUGUACCUAUAAGGUUAACUCUCUCUACCAUUUCUCUUUUCUCUCCUUUUUCUCCCCCCCUCUCUCUCUCUCUCUCUCUCUCUCUCUAUUUCUCUCCCUCACACUUUCUCUCUCCAUCGACAUGUCCCUAAAGCAUCUAUAUGUCCCUGAAAGCUUUAACUCAAUUUCUCUCUGUCUCCCCCUUUCUCCAAAUUCAUCACCCAUUUCCCCUUUUUAUUCUUCAAUAUUUUUUUGUCAUGUCAUAAUUUUUCUUAUUAUGAUUUUGUUUUUCCUUUUUUUCGGCCUUCUUCUUCGUCAUUUCUUUCUUCAUUAUCAUCGACGUCAAUUUUCUUAUUCUUUCUCUUUUCUUUUCUCUUCUUCAUCGUCUACAACUUCUAUUUCAUUUCUCUCUUCUGAUUUGUCUUCUUCUUCUUCUUCCUCUUUUGUUUUGUUCUACUCUUCUUCCUAUUAUUUAUCUUUUGGUUUAGUUCUUCUUCGUAUUUUUCUUAUUAUUUUUCAGUUUUUAUUCGUCUUCUUCUUCAAUCUCCAAUUUUAAGGAUUUUGCCUACUUUCUCGGCCCCAAUUUAUUCAUCUUAUUUUUCCUCGUAUUUUCCUUUUUCUGCUUCAUCAUCUUUGUAUUUUCUCAGUUCUUCUUCUUUUUAAAUUUUUAUCAGCCUUCUUUAUUCUCUACUUCUUAUUGCUCUUUGGUCUUCAUCAAACUCUUCUUCUUCUGUUUUUUCUUGAUUUCUUUCUCAUCCUCACCUACUUCAUUUUCUCAUUUCUUCUUCUUUUAUUUUGUUUUCUUCCGGUUUUCUUCUUUAACUAAAACAUCCUUUGUUAUAUCUUUAUUCUUCUUCACUAUUUCGUGUUCUCAUAUGCUUUUUAUAUUCUCAAUGGUUUUAUUCAAAUUCAUCUUUUUUUUUAGUUUUUAUCAUUAACUACAUCUUCUUCUUUAUACUUAUACUUCUAAGUUAUAAGAAUUAUAGGUGAAUAAAAGUAAAAACAAUAUAUAUGAUUUAUUAGGAAAACUAUUUGUAUGUCUUUUUUAACAAUAAAUAACAAUUAUAAAUGGAUUAAAAUAAGAACAAUAUAUAAAUUAUUAAUAGCAAAAACUAAUUAGGAAUCUGUUUAAUUGUUUAUUUUUAUUGAUGGUAACUAAAUUUAGAAAGUACAUUAGGGAAAACAAUUAAAAUCCAAACACAACAAAAAAUCAAAGAAAAUUGUUAAAAUAAGAUAAUUAAAGAAAAUUAAUCAAAGACAAUGCAAGGAAUUGAAGAAACUUAUACUAAAAAACAUUGAAUGGAUCUCCAAAGAUAAAAAGGAUUCAUCAUAGAAGAUGCACGUAACAAAGCAGUGUACAUCAUAAGAAGAAAGGAGUGGGAACCCAUUGACUUUCCUUAUAGAUAGCUUCGACAUACUCGGUAUCAUCGUGCAUUAAACUCAAAGCAUAACAUGCAUCUUUGAAAGUACGGUGGACAACACCGUUAAUUGUUCUUAUAUCCAUCUAAAAACAUGGAUCGCGAACGACAUGCAAUGAAACCCUCAAGUAGUAGGCUUCGCCAGCGUUAGAGUUACAGUUGGCUAUAAUACUCGGUCUGGAGUUACCGCAAAGACGGGGGUGUAUUAAUGUUUUUAUGAUCCCAACCCCAAUGGAUCGGAAAUUCAAAAUACAUAUACGAUAUGGCUUCAGGAUAGUCCUAAUUACACUUUAACGAACCUGUAUAUUUAUCGUUGUAAACAUCGCAGAAAAAUGUUCAUCUUCGUAAAAACGAUUUGAGAUGGAGGCAGAUGUUACGGAAAAUCUGAGGAUCACGGAGGGAAAGAUUGCUGGUAGCUAUAGAAAAUUCAUAAAAUUUUUGAAGGAAAGAACUAUUAGGCAAUGGAUUUACAUAAGACGAAAGUCUAGAAGCAGAAAAAGACAUUUAAAGCACAAACUAAAAUAAACAAACAUGAAUUUUUAUUUACCUGACAAUUUUAUUGUAAAGCGGGAGAUAAAAUAUUCAAUUAGUGAAGUAUGAACUAUAAGAGUAGGUUGUCAUUAUGGAAAUGCAUAAAUAAUAUAUAUAUAUAUAUAUAUAUAUAUAUAUAUCGAUUUUUUUUAAAAAGACAUGGAUUUAUUUUUUAAAAAGUUGCUAAACCUUAGAAGACGGACAUUGUAUGUAAGAAAACAUGAAGACCGAGAGGAGUAUAUAUAGCACGAUAGAUACGCUAGGGUUUAGAUUAGUACUGACUUUGAUAUUGAUGGCCCAUAACCAAAAUCAGUGGCUAUGACCAAAAUCGAGAUUAGUGGCCCAUAAAUAAAAUCAAUGGCCCAUAAUUGAGAAAAAAGACACAUCACGGGUAUUUCCAUGUAAGAUUAAUGAUUGACCUAUCAUAACAAAUUAAAACGCCAUAUAAUAUUUUUUAAUAAUGACACAUAUGACAAUUGCUGUGGAGACGGCACAUCAGAUGUUAUGCGGGGAGGCAGAGAGAAAUUGAGUUAAAGCUUUCAGGGACAUAUAGAUGCUUCAGGGACAUGUCGAUGGAGAGAGAGAGUGUGAGGGAUAGAAAUAGAGAGAGAGAGAGAGAGAGAGAGAGAGAGAGAGAGAGAGAGAGAGAGAGAGAGAGAGAGAGUGAGAGAGAGAGAGAAAAAGGGGAUAAAGAGAUAAAGACAGAGAGAGAAAGAGAAAUGGUAGAGAGAGUUAACCUUAUAAGUACAUGAUAUUCAGUCUAUGUUAGCUCAUAUUUUUUGUGUUCCUAUUUUUUUAUUUUCGAAAUACUUCUUAUUUUAAAUGUAGUUAUUUAAAUCAUAUGAUAUAUAUAAAUUUAGGACGACGGGAAAGGAGAGAAUGAGAGAUAAAUAUUGAAAGAGGGAUGGACACAUGGAUGAGGAGAGAGAUAUAGUUAAAGUUUUCAAGUACAUAUAUUUGAUUGAUAUAAAUAAAUGAAGGAAAAUAAGAAGAAAAUAAAGUCGGAGAAGAGAACGAAGAAGACAAAGGUGAUGAAGAAGAAGAAGAAGAAGAAAAAUAGGAAGAAGAUGAGGAAAACAGAAAACAAGAAGAAGAUGUGACAAAAAAACUUAAAGAAUAAGAAGUAACAAAAGAGAUAUAAAAUGAAGAGGUGAAAGAAAAAGAUAUAAAAGAAAAUGAAAGAAAACUAAGAAGAAAACGUGAGAGAAGAAGGAGAGAUAAAGAUGGAAGACGAUGAAAAAAAAAUAAUAAAAACUAAAAGAUAAAAAAGAAGAAGAAGAAAAACAAUUAUGUAAAGACGAAAAACUCGUUUUUGUCUUAAUUCAAUUGAUUUGUGAGUUUAAUAGUAAAUAUAUUUUUUGUUAAUUUUAUAUGGUGUUUCUUUUUUGGAUUUGCUUUAUUUUAUUAUGUAUAUAUUAAAUAAUUGUUUUUAAUUAUUUUUAGUUUUAGUUUAUAACAUUGAAAUCUCUAUGCCCACACAACAACAAAUUAACAAUGAUAUAAAACCCAAAAAAUAAAAUAGAAAAUUAAAGAAGGCGAGAAAAGAAAAAUAAUCACUAUAGAAAUCACAAAAAGGAAAUAUGGGAGACUAUGCCACAGAAACAAAAUUCACCGGCUUACUAAAGUACGAAACCGAUUUACUUUCAGAAUGAGCGAAGAGUUGACCUUCGAGAAGGGUGAGUUAAUUGUUGUAGGUGAAAAACAUAUGUAGGCUAACGAUAUAUAUAGUGUAGGAUAAAUGUUUUAGGGUUUUUUUUUUUAAUUUUUUUCGGUGGCCCAUUUUACAAAUUCGGUGAAUUAAACAAAAUCAGUGACCCAUUAACUAAUAGUAUAGAUGACCCAUUAAAAUCAUAUUAACCAUAGUGACACGUAGGAUUAAUGAUAAUCCAAUUAGAAUUAAGAAAAAUGACAUAUAUAUAUGACACAUAAGCAAAUCGUUCUGGUGUUAACACGUAAGAAUUUUGACUUCGCAAAUAAUAGUAUAGAUUGGCCUAAGUAGAAAACAAAUCGAACGUAACAGUCAUAUUUUUUUUGGGGUGAAAUCCAAACAAAAAAAGAGUUUUGACUGUAGAUAAACUGGCCCAAUGGGCUAUUUCAGAGUUGUAUACGGGUCAACUUGUUACAUUUUCGAACCUUCGGGGGGAAAAAGCAUUGCAAGUUCGAUAAAAACACCACGAAGUGCGGUUGUCAAAAAGGCAAAUAUUGAAGGGAGUACCAAAACAAAAAAAUAAAAAACCUGCCGUUUCACACUUGUGGGCACCUACAAGACGACAACUUCUUUUUUUCGACACGUGUCUCAAUUGCAUUGAUACACCGACCGCGUUCCUAACUCAAAUCUCUCUCCUUCCGUUUCUCUCCUUCCUUCCUGUUUCUCUCCUCGAAAAGGAUCCUGCAACUUUCAAAAACCCUAGAUACACAAAAAGAGAUUGGAUUCCAAUUUCUCUCCGGCGAUUUUAUGAGAGUGAAAUUCGGCUCACGGUGAGAAUCUCGAUCCUCGAAUCGACUUGAUCGGAGAUUUCCUUCAGUUUGUUUUCUCACCUAAUUCGAUCAAUCUUUUGUUGUUGAUAACGGAUAAUAAUUCUCGAUUUUAGAAUCGGAUUAAUCUUUUCUUUUUAUCCUCUUUGAUUAUUUAAUUGUGUUUCUUUGGUAGCCUCGAUGGAAUUUUGUUAGGUUUAUAUUUUUUUUUCCUUUCUUUUUGCUGUAAAAAUCGAGUUCUUCCACAAUUUGAAUUCGCUUCUGAAACAUUUGUAUACCAAAAUUACUUUAAAAUCUCUCAAAAGUUGGAUUUUUUUUUUUUUGUGUGUUUCUACAGUAUACGGAAAAGUACAUGUUUUCAGAAAACAAUAUAUUCUUCACGGAUUUUCUUUUCUCUUGCAAUGAUUUAACUUCCAGUAUAUACAUGGACGUAUAAAUCAGAUUGUCUGUGGUUGAAACUUACAGGUAAAACUACUCUUGAGCUGAAAGAUGAACACACAGGAGUCGAGAACAACUCGAGGAAACCGACGGAGGAAAGCUGUGAUUGAUCUGAAUGCGGAACCCGGUGAUCAAGAAGGGACCUCCGGUUCUGUAAGUGCUCCUACGGUGCCUACUGGUAACCUUCAGGGUGUGUCUGUACCUUCUCAACCUGUCCCUACCAUGAUUGAUGUCGAUGCUAUUGAAGAUGAUGUUAUUGAAUCAUCCGCAAGUGCUUUUGCUGAAGUAUGCUCCCCCUUAUUUACCAUUUUAUCUCCCCAUUUUGAAAGUGUGAUGGAUAGGCAAAUGAUUUUUGUUUCAAAUUUGAUACCAGGCUAAAAGCAAAUCGACAGGUGCACGUAGGAGGAAUUUGAUGGUUGAUUUGGUUUCAGGUUAGUUUUAUCUAUGGUUAUGGGAUAUGAAUUUGAGCUUUAUACUCUUUGUGUUUGUUACUGAAUUUGAGCUCGCUGAUUAGGAUUGUUUUGUACACAUAUUUUUUCUUACUUGGACGGGUAAGUGCAGGUGGUGUGACUAGAUUGCCAUUCAAUGUAAGACAAAAACGCAGAAGGAUUCCUCCUAAUCAACCUGUGAUCGACUGUGAGCUUGCACCUAUAAACACAAGCUCAAAGGCUCCAGCUCCUCCACCACCACCACCACCACCA
This 15833-nucleotide long non-coding RNA is filed under the name Eutrema salsugineum. Its description in RNAcentral is "long non-coding RNA (ESAL_LNC000456)". The stretch from base 3267 to 3338 matches the Rfam family "tRNA". Lineage: Eukaryota; Viridiplantae; Streptophyta; Magnoliopsida; Brassicales; Brassicaceae. The record is from RNAcentral.